AUGUAUUUUAAUUAUAUAUAGGCUUUAAUUUAAUUUGGGCCAUUAUUGUUGGCCCAUAAAAUAAACCCAACAAGUACAAACGUGCAAUUGAGCCCAACUCUAAAUUUACAUAACACACUCUCUCUUUCAGACUUUCAUUGUUGCACAUAACCCUAAAACAUGAUAACAUUCAAAUUUUCAAAUCCUUACUUUUUUUCCUCUCUCUCUCUCUCUCUCAGACCCUCAUCGAGUCAGGAAGUCACCCUAGCUCACAUUUCUUAUAAUUAUUUUGUAUUUUGAACUAUUGGACAUGUUGCAUCAAAUUGUAGGUAGUGUUCUAUAAAAAUUAAACUAUUGAUUACAUAAUAUCGAGAAUUUCAAUCGGCUCGUUUAGAGCUCGAGCUCAGCUUGACUCGAAAUUAGGCUCGCUCGAGCUCGGCUCGAAUUAAUUUCAAGCCGAGCUUGAGCCUAGAUUUAGGCUCGAAAUUAAUUUCAAACCGAAUUUGAGCUGACAUAAGCUCGCUCGAGCUCGGCUCGUUUCCACCCCUAGCACUGAGUGUCUCCCAAAACACCAUUGUAAAAAUAAAAACUAUAAUAUAUUUAUUUAUUAUAUAGAGUCCGACUAUGGUGCUUAUAAAAGCACCUAACACUUUAUGCUUGUAAAUUUUUUACCGUUAGGUCUACGUCUUUAAUCAUUUUCACCCGUUAGAUUAUACUAUUCAACCAACCACCAACUCAACCCUAAGAUGCCCACAUCAUCCUAACUGCACAUCUGUUAAUCCAAUAACAAAAAAUCUACAAGCACCAAUAACUUUAGUUUUAAAAGCAUAGGAGCUCAAUUCUAUUUUAUAUAUAUAUAUAGAGAGCAGGUUUUGUGUGCUAUUAGGAGCACGGAGGCCUCCGUGCUCCUAAGCCGUUUUCGAUGGUGGGGCUUCCGAAUCGAUGAUCGGCUCCGUUAGACUUGAUCUAGCAUAUUUGAAGUAUCUAGAAAAUAAAUUUUGUGACUUUUCGAUAUCAUUUACCUAACGAUCAAAAGAAUUCAAAAUCAAUGGCUGAAAAUAAAAAUCUCACAAAAAGUGGUGAUAUAGCAAUAAAAUUUUCGAUCAAACAUAUUGAUCUUGCUGUAAAUAGUAUAAAGAAUUUUCUAUCAAAAUUUCAUUUGAUUUGAAUACUUCUACACCGUUAAACUUGCAAACGGUAUACAUCAACCAUUAAAAAUUGUUGAUUUUGGACCCUUUCGAUCGCUAGGAAAAUGAUACCGAAAAAUCACAAAAAUUAUUUUCUAGAUAGUUCAAAUACGCUAGAUUAAGUCUAACGGAGCCGAUCGUCGAUUCGGNGAGGCCUCCGUGCUCCUAAUAGCACACAAGAUUUACUAUAUAUAUAUAUAUAUAUAUAUAUAUAUAAGCGUAUAGGAAUUCCGACAAUAACAUAUAAAAUUAAAAAAUGAAUAAAAUAAUAUUUUCUAUAUUCCCUACAAACGGAUAUGAUCAAUUAACAUUCAAAUUUAUCAAUAAAUUCAAUUUUACGAACAAUUAUGAUUAAUUUGUUAAAAAUAUUUAAAAUAAAAAUAAACGAUUGUAAUCAAUCUGUUAAAAAAUAGCACUUCGAUCCAUCUAUUUUAUAUCAAAAUUUAAAUUUGAGCUGAAAUCGUGAUUUAGAUUUAAUUUUUAAUUUUUGAUAUAAAUUUGAAUUAAUAAUUAAAAACUUUUAAUUUGAUAAUGGAUCAAAAUUAAAUUUUAAAAUAUAAAUUUUAUUCUAAAUUUGUUGAUAAAUAUGAUUUAUAAUUUUUUAUUGAUUUAAAAUAAAUUAAAAUAAUUCUUGCCUGCAUUUGCACGUAAUCUCAGCUAGCAUAUAUAUAUAUAUAUAUAUAUAUAUAUAUAUAUAUAUAUAUAUAUAGUAGGUCUUGUGUGCUAUUAGGAGCACAGAGGCCUCCGUGCUCCUAAGCCGUUUUCGAUGAUGGAGCUUCCGAAUCGACGAUCGGCUCCGUUAGACUUGAUCUAGCAUAUUUGAAAUAUCUAGAAAAUAAAUUUUGUGAUUUUUCGAUAUCAUUUACCUAACGAUCGAAAGGGUUCAAAAUCAACGGCUGAAAAUAAAAGUCUUA
RNAcentral lists this long non-coding RNA (2080 nucleotides) under Ananas comosus (pineapple). RNAcentral describes it as "long non-coding RNA (ACOM_LNC008686)". The record is from RNAcentral. Lineage: Eukaryota; Viridiplantae; Streptophyta; Magnoliopsida; Poales; Bromeliaceae.